Molecule: long non-coding RNA, 150 nt
Organism: Cervus elaphus (red deer)
Lineage: Eukaryota; Metazoa; Chordata; Mammalia; Artiodactyla; Cervidae
Exons: 3
Source: RefSeq, a predicted model, not a curated record
UUCCAGUGGUCAUAUAUGGAUGUGAGAGUUGGACUAUAAAGAAAGAUAAGCACAGAAGAAUUGAUGCUUUUGAACUGUGGUGUUGGAGAAGACUCUUGAGAGUCCUUUGAACUGCAAGGAGAUCAAACCAGUCAAUCCUAAAGGAAAUCA